UUCACACUGUGAGUGUGUGUUUUCAUUUGGCUUUUCAUUGUCCAGGUUUGCUGACUUGGAACAGCAGGGAAUACUUUUUAUACACUUUCCUGAAGCGUGAUGUGAGAGUGUAGAAAUAUUUUACUUCUCCUAUGAGAAAAGCUGGAAUAACAGAAGAAUUUUUGCUGUGAUGUCCUCCAGUCGUCCUCUGCUGAAAUCUAAGCAAUCGUGCUGAGGUGCAGAAGACAAAAGUUUCCCAUCAAGUGUAUGAAGAGCAAGAAAACAGCAAACUUAAUAACUUGCACUCCUCAUUGCUCACAUUUCCUGAAGAUUGCUGAGAUCAAGAAAGCCGUCAAGUGCUCCUUUGCAUUCAUGCUGAUGUGUGUAAAUCAACAGAACUGUGCUCAGUUUUCCCAGGAGACUGACUUUGAGUGCACAGCAUUCAGAAAGGGGCAGUGCAUGUACUUGGCUGCACAGAAAGUGGAGGGAGAUGGUCACGUGUUCAUCAGUCAGUUUGCAAAGAAGAUUGCAUGCCAGGCCAAGGCCAUGUGAUGUAAUUCUUGGGUAUGACAUCUCCUCGUCAGUCAUAGAUGUGAGUAGAGUGAGUAGACAACCAUAUUCUUUUUAGUUUCUCCACCUUGAAGGGAGAAUAUCAGCAUCAUUUGAGUUACUUUUGAUACAAGUAUG
Molecule: long non-coding RNA, 666 nt
Filed under: Phasianus colchicus (ring-necked pheasant)
Lineage: Eukaryota; Metazoa; Chordata; Aves; Galliformes; Phasianidae
Description: lncRNA (ENSPCLG00000006527.1)
Source: RNAcentral